GGGAGAGAGAGUCAAACAACGAUCAAACACCAAUGGAACUGGAACCAAUGAAUGCAGCACGUGAUGACACGUCACCAUUGGAAAAUAACAACUCUAAGAUCAACAGAGACAGAACAAGAGAGUCAAACAAUGGCGAAAUACAAAUAACAAUAAAAGCCACAGAAGGAACAAACGAAGAAACGCCUCGUCAGAACGGUGAAAACCUCACACCCCCCCCUCUGCCUGAAAGAACUGAAGACACUUGGGUGUGAUGUAGCACAUGACUGAACAUGGAGACUUUUGUGUCAUAUGGACAAGAAGUACUAGAAGAAGAGUUCAAGAUUAACAAACCUCUCCACGUUAGACUGAAGGAGUAACUGAUGAACUGAUGCUCACUUUGUGUCGUCCAAUAUUUAUGAUGUUUACUUUGUGAUUUUAUCCAAGAAAGUUGGAAAACUUUAUGUUUGAAUAUAUGAAGUUUAUAUAUGCUGAAAUAAUAUGAAAGAUUUUUCUAGAUCUUUUUUUAUUUAACACCAGUGAAUUUAAAAUUUCAUCCAUAAGUGGAUGUAAAGGAUAUUUUAAGGUCAGAGUUUAGAUUUGUUUUUCUCAGAACUUCUUCUUUUUUCCGACCCCUGAGAUUUAUCUGGUGUCCGUUCACAAAACUGCACAUACAGUAGAAGAGUCCAGCUCCACCUCCAGCAGCUACAGCAGUAACAUGCUGCUGACACACUGAUGCCUCAGUAUUGAUCAUCCAAUGAUCACAGAUAUAACAACAUGUAUAAGUGAGAGGGAUGGAACCAGCUGUUUUACUUUAAUACUUUCACUACAUUUAGCUGCUUGUACUUUAUGUACUUUUACUUCAAUAGGAUUUUUCAUGUAGGACUUUUACUUGUAAUGAAGUAUUUUUACAUUUCUGUAUCUGCACUUUUACUCUGGCGGGUUUGGGCCAGAGCACUGUGACACCUUUAUGCAAGAUUUAACAUUUGUCUGCUUUGCCCAGUGGCCUCUGAGGCUACAUGGAUCAA
This is a long non-coding RNA of Seriola dumerili (greater amberjack), 1004 nucleotides long. RefSeq lists it as uncharacterized. The record is from RefSeq and is a predicted model, not a curated record. The transcript has 4 exons. Lineage: Eukaryota; Metazoa; Chordata; Actinopteri; Carangiformes; Carangidae.